AUUGCAGUGUUUAAAUUUGGAGAUUUUUCCAGGGUUAUUAAAUGGAAUUUCUACGACAACCUAAAAUCUGGUGUUAGAAUGAGAUUGAGUUAUUCAGUAUAAUGAGUCCAACUCUAUUUUACUUCUUACUUUUGGCCUCUAAGAUAUAUAUGUAAAUUAUAAAUUUAGAGCCCCAUUUCAGCCACCAUCCAGCAAAUAGUACAUUAAUGGUGUAAGAGUUCAAUAAAUCUCCAUUUUACUCGGGGUACUUUGUGGCCAGCCAUAGAAACCAACUCUGGCUGGUCUAUCAGAAGGGGACUUUACAGAGAGAAUCUUGGGUAUUUGAUAUAAUUGCCAGAACACCUGGGAGAUCAGACACUAAAAAUGGGCAGGCAUAAUGGAACGAGAUAGAAGCUGACCAAAGCUAAACUUUUUUUAUCUGGGACGGUCUGGCAGGGACAUUCUCUUGUCAUGGAGAUGGAGGCCAAUGCUGGUUCUGGAUAUUGCAUUAAUCACAGGCCCUCAUUACUACCUCUAGUUCUACUGAGCUGGAUGGAGAAAGGUAUUACCACUGAUUCUGGCACAGAAUUCUCUGACCCAGUUUCUUUGCUCACUUG
This 596-nucleotide long non-coding RNA is filed under the name Marmota monax (woodchuck). Lineage: Eukaryota; Metazoa; Chordata; Mammalia; Rodentia; Sciuridae. The record is from RNAcentral.